CUUGACAUCCCGAUGCUAGUUUCUAGAGAUAGAAAGGUACUUCGGUACAUCGGUGACAGGUGGUGCAUGGUGUCGUCAGCUCGUGUCGUGAGAUGUUGGGUUAAGUCCCGCAACGAGCGCAACCCCUAUGUUAGUUGCCAUCAUUCAGUUGGGCACUCUAGCGAGACUGCCGGUAAUAAACCGGAGGAAGUGGGGAUGACGUCAAAUCAUCAUGCCCCUUAUGACCUGGGCUACACACGUGCUACAAUGGUUGGUACAACGAGUUGCGAGUCGGUGACGGCGAGCUAAUCUCUUAAAGCCAAUCUCAGUUCGGAUUGUGGGCUGCAACUCGCCUACAUGAAGUCGGAAUCGCUAGUAAUCGCGGAUCAGCACGCCGCGGUGAAUACGUUCCCGGGCCUU
Molecule: ribosomal RNA, 399 nt
Filed under: uncultured Streptococcus sp.
Lineage: Bacteria; Bacillati; Bacillota; Bacilli; Lactobacillales; Streptococcaceae
Description: bacterial SSU rRNA
Rfam family: Bacterial small subunit ribosomal RNA
Source: RNAcentral